Molecule: ribosomal RNA, 252 nt
Filed under: uncultured bacterium
Lineage: Bacteria
Description: partial 16S ribosomal RNA
Rfam family: Bacterial small subunit ribosomal RNA
Source: RNAcentral
UACGUAGGGUGCAAGCGUUAAUCGGAAUUACUGGGCGUAAAGCGUGCGCAGGCGGUUAUGUAAGACAGAUGUGAAAUGCCCGGGCUCAACCUGGGAACUGCAUUUGUGACUGCAUGGCUAGAGUGUGUCAGAGGGGGUAGAAUUCCACGUGUAGCAGUGAAAUGCGUAGAGAUGUGGAGGAAUACCGAUGGCGAAGGCAGCCCCCUGGGAUAACACUGACGCUCAUGCACGAAAGCGUGGGGAGCAAACAGG